GCCGGGCGCUGUGGCGGGCGCCUGUGGUCCCAGCUACUUGGGAGGCGGAGGCAGGAGACUCGCUUGAGCCCAGGAGUUGGAGGUUGCUGUGAGCUGUAAUGCCAUGGCACUCUACCCAGGGGGACAGCUUGAGGCUCUGUCUCAAAAAAAAAAAAAAAAACCACUGAAAGUGCCAUUGUGUCAGCUUAGUUCACAGCAACUUCACACUCCUGGGUUCAGGUGAUCCUGCCU
This 231-nucleotide small RNA is filed under the name Otolemur garnettii (small-eared galago). Its description in RNAcentral is "Metazoan signal recognition particle RNA (ENSOGAG00000029588.1)". Lineage: Eukaryota; Metazoa; Chordata; Mammalia; Primates; Galagidae. The record is from RNAcentral.